Molecule: non-coding RNA, 56 nt
Submitted as: unclassified sequences
Source: Rfam
UGACCAUCCCUCUGGUGAGGGAUCGAGGCUACACGGACGGCCGGGUCAGAUGCCGA